RNAcentral lists this unclassified non-coding RNA (335 nucleotides) under soil metagenome. RNAcentral's name for it is "partial contains 5.8S ribosomal RNA, internal transcribed spacer 2, and large subunit ribosomal RNA". The stretch from base 1 to 120 matches the Rfam family "5.8S ribosomal RNA", at positions 35 to 154 of the family's 154-position model. The record is from RNAcentral.
GAUGAAGAACGUAGCGAAAUGCGAUAAGUAAUGUGAAUUGCAGAAUUCAGUGAAUCAUCGAAUCUUUGAACGCACAUUGCGCCCCCUGGUAUUCCGGGGGGCAUGCCUGUCCGAGCGUCAUUUCAACCCUUAAGCCCUGUUGCUUAGCGUUGGGAGCCUACAGUACUGUAGCUCCCCAAAGUUAGUGGCGGAGUCGGUUUCACACUCUAGACGUAGUAAUUUUUUCUCGUCUGUAGUUGAGCCGGUCCCCUGCCGUAAAACACCCAAUUUAUCAAGGUUGACCUCGGAUCAGGUAGGAAUACCCGCUGAACUUAAGCAUAUCAAUAAGCGGAGGA